Stomoxys calcitrans (stable fly) is the source of this 784-nucleotide long non-coding RNA. RefSeq lists it as uncharacterized. The transcript is spliced from 3 exons. The record is from RefSeq and is a predicted model, not a curated record. Lineage: Eukaryota; Metazoa; Arthropoda; Insecta; Diptera; Muscidae.
CAGUGUUGCCAUAGACAAAGAAAACAAUGUAGAGUUAAAGUUUUAUCGUUCAACUUCAAGGUCAAUAUGGACAUUUAACGUUUUGGUUGAUUGAGUGACAAAUUAUAUUAAUGGCAUAGGCAAAUAGCAACUCAGAGAGAGAGAGAGAGAGAGAGGGAGAGUGAAACAGAGAGAAGAUAAUGUGAUGCGAAAACAGUUAUUUUGGUAUUUGUUUAAGAAAAUCGUGAGUUUGAAUAAAUAAUUUACUUAAAUUCAGCUACAAUACUAAAUCUAUAGAACUUCAUAGCUGGACAGUGGAGCAUGUCACCUUAAGUUUCCUGACUGAGCGAAUGCGUGAAUAUUCAAUAAUUGUUAAAUCAAUUUGAUUGAUUAGUUUUGUAUGGUUAAAAUAAAUUUUCCGUUUACCAACAAACAGACUACACACCUUUUUAUUGAUAAAAAUGUCAACAUCCCAAUUAGUCCAAGUGAUUGAAAGAAAGGGGGAAAAACAAUAUUUAUCAAGUAUAUACUUUCAAAGUAUUAAAAUGUCGUUUCAAUAUAAAUUUAAUUAGAACCAAUUUGUUAUUGUUGUUUUUUUAAUUAAGGAAACAGCAAAGUAUGAGAUGUCCCUCGUUUUUAGGUUUAUAAGGAAUUGGAGAAUUUCCAUACUCAAAACGAAGAUGACUAAUACACUACUCUUUUUCUCAUGCAAAAAUUUCAAUUGUUUUCAAACUGAGCGUAACGCUUUAACCUCAUAAUUGGUAUAAAAAUACAGGAUGUUUAUUCAGCAAAAUAAAUAUACUAU